ACGAACGCUGGCGGCAGGCUUAACACAUGUAGGUCGAGCGAGGCGUAAUAGUCGAGCGGCGAACGGGGGAGUAACACAUGGGAAUCUACCCUGAAGUGGGGGAUAACGGUCAGAAAUGAACGCUAAUACCGCAUAAUCCACAUUGGGAAAGCGUUGCAGCGCUUUAGGCUGAGCCCAUGGCUGAUUAGCUAGUUGGUGAGGUAAUGGCUCACCAAGGCGACGAUCAGUACCUGGUCUGCGAGGAUGAUCAGCCACACUGGAACUGAGACACGGUCCAGACUCCUACGGGAGGCAGCAGUGGGGAAUCUUGAGCAAUGGGGGCAACCCUGACGCAGCCAAACCGCGUGAGUGAUGAAGGUCUUCGGAUUGUAAAGCUCUUUCGGCGGGGACGACGAUGACGGUACCCGCAAAAGAAGUCACGGCUAACUUCGUGCCAGCCGCCGCCGUAA
RNAcentral lists this ribosomal RNA (449 nucleotides) under uncultured bacterium. RNAcentral describes it as "partial 16S ribosomal RNA". It matches the Rfam family "Bacterial small subunit ribosomal RNA", at positions 29 to 523 of the family's 1533-position model. The record is from RNAcentral.